This 458-nucleotide ribosomal RNA is filed under the name uncultured bacterium. Its description in RNAcentral is "partial 16S ribosomal RNA". It matches the Rfam family "Bacterial small subunit ribosomal RNA", at positions 29 to 507 of the family's 1533-position model. The record is from RNAcentral.
AACGAACGCUGGCGGCAUGCCUAACUCAUGCAAGUCGAACGGGACCUUCGGGCGUAGUGGCGCACGGGUGCGUAACGCGUGGGAAGCUGCCCUUAGGUUCGGUAUCCCUCUCUGACUGGGGUGCUAAUAACGGUUACUGUCUUCGGACCAAAGCUUUCUCGCCUUUGGAUGGGCACACGUUGGUUUCGCUAGUUGGUGGGGUAAAGGCCUCCCAAGGUGACGAUUCUGAGCUGGUCUGAGAGGAAGAUCAGCAACACUGGAACUGAGAAACGGUCAAGACUCCUACGGGAGGAAGCAGUGGGGAAUAUUGGACAAUGGGGGAAAGCCUGAUACAGCAAUACCGCGUGGGUGAAGAAGGACUUCGGGUUGUAAAGCCCUUUUGUUGGGAAAGAAAAGCAGCAGGUUAAUACCCCGCUGUUAUGACGGUACCGAAAGAAUAAGCACCGGCUAACUUCGUG